UUUUUUCUUUUUAGAGUAGGCUCCGUGCCCAGUGUAGAGCCCAGCGCAGGCUCUGAACUCCCAACCCUGAGACUGAGACCUGAGCUGAUAUCAAAUUGGACACUUAGCUGACUGAGCCACCCAGGGCCCUGAGUUUUCAGUUUUAAAGUGACUUUUCCCCUUUAAUUUCUAAUGCUUUGCUGAAUUGUUACUGAUCUUUUAAAAUCUUUCAUCUACUUAUCUGAGCUUUUCUAAUUUUUAUAGCUUUCAUAAUUUUCUUAAACUUUUAUAGCUUGGUUUAAAACCAUUUUUAUGUUUUUAAGGAUAAUUCUGUUUCCUAUUUUUGUAUUAAAUUCUACAAUUCUGUUGUUUGCUUCUAUGUGAAAUGCAUUUUCCUGUACUUUUAGGGAGGUAGAAAGGACAAAUUAACUUUUCUGGCCCCAAGGUCCAUUCAAUUCUAUUAUUUUCACAAAAUGACCUGAGAUUCUGCUUCUGAUUCUCUCCUUCAUUUCACUCUAUACAUGGUCUUUCCUUUGUCCCUACUAUCCCUGUCCUGAUCAAUUUGGUGUCUAUAGCUAGCAGUUCCUCCUUAAUUGAGGUGUUUGGAAAUAAAGCUUCUGUUAGUUUCAAGAUUUCAGAAGAACCAAAAAGAAAAAGUUCAUAUGGACUGAGACUACUCCCAAAAUCUUCAGAACUUAGCACAGUCCCCUUAAAUUCACCAGCUGACAUCUGCAGGAACCUUCUGUUUGGGUUGUUUCCAAAUUAGCCUGCCAUGCUUUCUAGUGGAAAUCUGUUGAUUUGGGGGAUCUCUUGAUUUUCAAGGCUAUCAGAUGUCCCACUGCUUUUCCUCCAUGGCUUUCUAAAGAUAGCCAAUACCAUUCAGGAUUGGUUUUGAGUUUGUCACUACCUAAUCUUAUUUGGGGACUAUGGGGAUACACGGUCACCAAGAUUGGUUGUAGAUGCUGGGCAUCAAUUUCUACUUCAAUGGAUUUGGGGAGAUUAAAAAACUAUACUAUUUCUGUGAUCUUCUGUUCUUUUUUUUUUAAUUUUAAUUUAAUUUUAUUUUUCUUUUAUGAGAGAGAGAGAGAGAGAGAGAGAGAGAGAGAGAGAGAGAGAGAGAGAGAGGCAGAGACAUAGGCAGGAGAAGCAGACUCCAUGCACCGGGAGCCUGACGUGGGAUUUGAUCCUGGGUCUCCAGGAUAGCGCCCUGGGCCAAAGGCAGGCGCCAAACUGCUGCGCCACCCAGGGAUCCCUCUUCUGUUCUUUAAUACACUUCUGGUGGUUAAUCUUUUAUUUGGGAACAUUUCUGACAAGUUUGUAUAGGAGUUAGUAGAGCACAGUGAUUGGGAGCACGGGCUAGUCACACUGCCUAGAUAUAAAUCCUACGUUCACCAUUUACUAACUGUGUGAUCCGUAUCCCCCUUUUUUUUUUUGUUUCCUGUGUAAAACAAUAGGUUGUUGAGAGAUCUAACUGAAACAACCUAAGUAAAGCACUGAACAGAGUACUAU
Molecule: long non-coding RNA, 1488 nt
Filed under: Canis lupus familiaris (dog)
Lineage: Eukaryota; Metazoa; Chordata; Mammalia; Carnivora; Canidae
Description: lncRNA (ENSCAFG00000053777.1)
Source: RNAcentral